ACUAAACAAAUGUUUAUUGCGUGUAUAUGCUUAGGAAUAUGGCUUAAGCGUUUCUACCUGGUAACCUUAAACUACCGGACUACAUGAAGAAUGACUGAAUAC
This 102-nucleotide non-coding RNA is filed under the name Sporosarcina sp. Its description in RNAcentral is "Guanine sequence". It matches the Rfam family "Purine riboswitch aptamer". From Rfam's summary of the family: Riboswitches are metabolite binding domains within certain messenger RNAs that serve as precision sensors for their corresponding targets. Allosteric rearrangement of mRNA structure is mediated by ligand binding, and this results in modulation of gene expression. Lineage: Bacteria; Bacillati; Bacillota; Bacilli; Caryophanales; Caryophanaceae. RNAcentral also lists the same sequence under 1 other name. The record is from RNAcentral.